This 465-nucleotide ribosomal RNA is filed under the name Vreelandella stevensii. RNAcentral's name for it is "partial 16S ribosomal RNA". It matches the Rfam family "Bacterial small subunit ribosomal RNA", at positions 338 to 795 of the family's 1533-position model. The record is from RNAcentral. Lineage: Bacteria; Pseudomonadati; Pseudomonadota; Gammaproteobacteria; Oceanospirillales; Halomonadaceae.
CCUACGGGAGGCUGCAGUGGGGAAUAUUGGACAAUGGGGGGAACCCUGAUCCAGCCAUGCCGCGUGUGUGAAGAAGGCCCUCGGGUUGUAAAGCACUUUCAGUGAGGAAGAACGCCUGGUGGUUAAUACCCAUCAGGAAAGACAUCACUCACAGAAGAAGCACCGGCUAACUCCGUGCCAGUAGCCGCGGUAAUACGGAGGGUGCGAGCGUUAAUCGGAAUUACUGGGCGUAAAGCGCGCGUAGGUGGCUUGAUAAGCCGGUUGUGAAAGCCCCGGGCUCAACCUGGGAACGGCAUCCGGAACUGUCAAGCUAGAGUGCAGGAGAGGAAGGUAGAAUUCCCGGUGUAGCGGUGAAAUGCGUAGAGAUCGGGAGGAAUACCAGUGGCGAAGGCGGCCUUCUGGACUGACACUGACACUGAGGUGCGAAAGCGUGGGUAGCAAACAGGAUUAGAUACCCUAGUAGUC